RNAcentral lists this unclassified non-coding RNA (378 nucleotides) under plant metagenome. RNAcentral describes it as "partial contains 5.8S ribosomal RNA, internal transcribed spacer 2, and large subunit ribosomal RNA". The stretch from base 1 to 105 matches the Rfam family "5.8S ribosomal RNA", at positions 50 to 154 of the family's 154-position model. The record is from RNAcentral.
GAAAUGCGAUAAGUAAUGUGAAUUGCAGAAUUCAGUGAAUCAUCGAAUCUUUGAACGCACCUUGCGCUCCUUGGUAUUCCUUGGAGCAUGCCUGUUUGAGUAUCAUGAAAUCUUCAAAGUAAAUCUUUUGUUAACUCAAUUGGUUUCUACUUUGGUAUUGGAGGUCUUUGCAGCUUCACACCUGCUCCUCUUUGUUCAUUAGCUGGAUCUCAGUGUUAUGCUUGGUUCCACUCCGCGUGAUAAGUUAUCUAUCGCUGAGGACACUGUAAAAGGUGGCCAAGGUAAAUGCAGAUGAACCGCUUCUAAUAGUCCAUUGACUUGGACAAUACUUUUAUGAUCUGAUCUCAAAUCAGGUAGGACUACCCGCUGAACUUAAGC